GAUGAAGAACGUAGUGAAAUGCGAUAAGUAAUGUGAAUUGCAGAAUUCAGUGAAUCAUCGAGUCUUUGAACGCACAUUGCGCCCCCUGGUAUUCCGGGGGGCAUGCCUGUCCGAGCGUCAUUGCUGCCCUCAAGCACGGCUUGUGUGUUGGGCCCCCGUCCCCGGUUUCCCCCGGGGACGGGCCCGAAAGGCAGCGGCGGCACCGCGUCCGGUCCUCGAGCGUAUGGGGCUUUGUCACCCGCUCUGUAGGCCCGGCCGGCGCCAGCCGACACCCAACUUUAUUUCUAAGGUUGACCUCGGAUCAGGUAGGGAUACCCGCUGAACUUAAGCAUAUCAAUAAGCGGAGA
This 347-nucleotide unclassified non-coding RNA is filed under the name soil metagenome. RNAcentral's name for it is "partial contains 5.8S ribosomal RNA, internal transcribed spacer 2, and large subunit ribosomal RNA". The stretch from base 1 to 120 matches the Rfam family "5.8S ribosomal RNA", at positions 35 to 154 of the family's 154-position model. The record is from RNAcentral.